Molecule: long non-coding RNA, 837 nt
Filed under: Homo sapiens (human)
Lineage: Eukaryota; Metazoa; Chordata; Mammalia; Primates; Hominidae
Description: HSALNT0294518
Source: RNAcentral
UUACAGGGUUACUCCUCCACUGACAUUUAAGGCAGAUUUACAUUAGCAGAAUGCAGGGAGGUGCCCCUCCACCUGAGUUGGAGACCCGGGCAUCACCUAUCAUUUACCCUGAACAAAUAUCACCUUUCUAAACUACUCUUCCUCUGCAAAAAGUCUUUGCAAACUGUAAAGCUCUGAGCCAACAUAAUUAUUAUAUCAUUGUUUACUGCUUAUUAUAAUAUUAUAAUAUAAUAUCAUUUAAGACCCCGGGGUUGGUAAUCCCAGCAUUUCCAAUUCAUUCGAAAUGAAAUAAUCUCUAGACCCUCAGAAUUUAAAAUGUGGUCCGCAGACCAGAACCAGCAGCUUUGGCAUCACCUGGGGCUUGUUAGCAAUGCAGAAUUGCAGGCUCGCCCCAAACUUACUGAUUCAGAGCCUGCAUUUUAACAAGAUCUGCAGGUGAUUCAUAGGCUCGGAGAAGUUGGAGAAGCUCCGGUCUAGGUACGCCUGCCGAGAUUCUCAGGAGUGCAGAAAGUGGGAAACCGUCAGCAGUACCAGCCAUCACCAGCACUGACACCCAGGAUGCCAUUAGGAAGAGGUCCAAGACUAGCAGGGCAGCCGCUGUGAGCCUGGAAACUGCUUGGGUGCCUUGAGAUGGGCUGUUACAUCCACGGUGGCUCAGGGCUUCCUCUAUGAAGCAUCGACUCUCCUGGGCUUUCAGCUGGACAUUCAGGAUUCAAAGAUGAGUGCAGAGUCACAGAGACAAACGAGACCCAGUGCUGCGGGGACACAGAGGCCGGGGCCAAGAAUUCCUCCAGGUGGCUCAUGCCUGUAAUCCCAACACUUUGGAAGGCCAAGCGG